AUUAGUGGCGAACGGGUGAGUAACACGUGAGUAACCUGCCCUUGACUCUGGGAUAAGCACUGGAAACGGUGUCUAAUACCGGAUACGAACUUCCACCGCAUGGUGAGGGGUUGGAAAGAAUUUUGGUCAAGGAUGGACUCGCGGCCUAUCAGCUAGUUGGUUAGGUAAUGGCUCACCAAGGCGACGACGGGUAGCCGGCCUGAGAGGGUGACCGGCCACACUGGGACUGAGACACGGCCCAGACUCCUACGGGAGGCAGCAGUGGGGAAUAUUGGACAAUGGGCGAAAGCCUGAUCCAGCAAUGCCGCGUGGAUGAAGAAGGUCUUCGGAUUGUAAAGUCCUUUCGGCGGGGACGAUAAUGACGGUACCCGCAGAAGAAGCCCCGGCUAACUUCGUGCCAGCAGCCGCGGUAAUACGAAGGGGGCUAGCGUUGCUCGGAAUGACUGGGCGUAAAGGGCGCGUAGGCGG
RNAcentral lists this ribosomal RNA (468 nucleotides) under uncultured bacterium. RNAcentral describes it as "bacterial SSU rRNA". It matches the Rfam family "Bacterial small subunit ribosomal RNA", at positions 91 to 578 of the family's 1533-position model. The record is from RNAcentral.